UGCAACUCGCCUACAUGAAGUCGGAAUUGCUAGUAAUCGCGGAUCAGCAUGCCGCGGUGAAUACGUUCCCGGGCCUUGUACACACCGCCCGUCACACCAUGGGAGUCGGUAACACCCGAAGCCUGUAGUCUAACCGCAAGGGGGACGCAGUCGAAGGUGGGAUUGAUGACUGGGGUGAAGUCGUAACAAGGUACC
This 195-nucleotide ribosomal RNA is filed under the name uncultured bacterium. RNAcentral's name for it is "partial 16S ribosomal RNA". It matches the Rfam family "Bacterial small subunit ribosomal RNA", at positions 1306 to 1500 of the family's 1533-position model. The record is from RNAcentral.